AGCGCAGGCGGGAAGGUAAGUCUAUCUUAAAAGUGCGGGGCUCAACCCCGUGAGGGGAUAGAAACUAUCAUUCUUGAGUGCAGGAGAGGAAAGCGGAAUUCCUAGUGUAGCGGUGAAAUGCGUAGAUAUUAGGAGGAACACCAGUGGCGAAGGCGGCUUUCUGGACUGUAACUGACGCUGAGGCUCGAAAGCCAGGGGAGCGAACG
RNAcentral lists this ribosomal RNA (206 nucleotides) under uncultured bacterium. RNAcentral's name for it is "partial 16S ribosomal RNA". It matches the Rfam family "Bacterial small subunit ribosomal RNA", at positions 568 to 774 of the family's 1533-position model. The record is from RNAcentral.